AUUGAACGCUGGCGGCAUGCCUUACACAUGCAAGUCGAACGGCAGCACGGGUGCUUGCACCUGGUGGCGAGUGGCGAACGGGUGAGUAAUACAUCGGAACAUGUCCUGUAGUGGGGGAUAGCCCGGCGAAAGCCGGAUUAAUACCGCAUACGAUCUACGGAUGAAAGCGGGGGACCUUCGGGCCUCGCGCUAUAGGGUUGGCCGAUGGCUGAUUAGCUAGUUGGUGGGGUAAAGGCCUACCAAGGCGACGAUCAGUAGCUGGUCUGAGAGGACGACCAGCCACACUGGAACUGAGACACGGCCCAGACUCCUACGGGAGGCAGCAGUGGGGAAUUUUGGAAAAUGGGCGAAAGCCUGAUCCAGCAAUGCCGCGUGUGUGAAGAAGGCCUUCGGGUUGUAAAGCACUUUUGUCCGGAAAGAAAUCCUUGGCCCUAAUACGGUCGGGGGAUGACGGUACCGGAAGAAUAAGCACCGGCUAACUACGU
This 485-nucleotide ribosomal RNA is filed under the name uncultured bacterium. RNAcentral describes it as "partial 16S ribosomal RNA". It matches the Rfam family "Bacterial small subunit ribosomal RNA", at positions 30 to 506 of the family's 1533-position model. The record is from RNAcentral.